Engraulis encrasicolus (European anchovy) is the source of this 461-nucleotide long non-coding RNA. RefSeq lists it as uncharacterized. NCBI's taxonomy places the organism in Eukaryota, Metazoa, Chordata, Actinopteri, Clupeiformes, Engraulidae. The transcript has 4 exons. The record is from RefSeq and is a predicted model, not a curated record.
GUUCUGUCGAUACGAGCUCCCAGUCGACAUGAGCUCCUUUUCAAUACUGCGCAUGCGCAACACCACGAAUCGCAUUUCCCGGGGGAUUGACCAUCGAUUUGAGCUACCGCAGUUUGAUACAAAGUUUGUAAUACAAACUCGAGAUGGAUGAGCAGGAGCAAUUAGCGCAAUUUCAAGUGUUUUGCCCCUGCAGCUGUGAAGAGGAUGCUGUGGAGGUGGCAACGUGAACGUGUCACACAGACAUUGGCUAAACUACUCGGCUUCUACACUUGCCCUCAGAGUUCACAUAUGGUGAAGUGCACAGGUGUCCAGCCAGGUCCAGACUGAUGAUGGUAACAAGAGGAAAACAUGCUGAUUGGCAAGUGAGAACCCUGCUCAACAAAAAUCCACACAGCAUAACAAGAAUGAUUCAACGAUGGACAUUGUGCUUAAUUGUGAAAAAAAAUAAAUGUCAAAACGUC